RNAcentral lists this ribosomal RNA (400 nucleotides) under phytoplankton environmental sample. RNAcentral's name for it is "partial small subunit ribosomal RNA". It matches the Rfam family "Eukaryotic small subunit ribosomal RNA", at positions 587 to 937 of the family's 1831-position model. The record is from RNAcentral.
AGCUCCAAUAGCGUAUGCUAAAGUUGUUGCAGUUAAAAAGCUCGUAGUCGGAUUUUUCGCUGUCAGCUUUGACGGGCGGACACCGGGGCCUUACUGGGUUCCGGGCCGCUCAGCUGGCAGUAUCAUUUUUGGUAAACUUCUGGCGGUCCAUUCAUUUGGGCCGUUAUAAAAGCGUGCCGGGUCAAACCGGUGCGUGGAGUUACCAAUCGUUUACUGUGAAGAAACUUGAGUGUUCAAAGCAAGCAUUCUCUGCCUGAAAAAUUCAGCAUGGGAUAAUGGAAUAGGCUUACGCGUCUAUUUUGCCGGUUUUCGGACUUUUGCGUGAGAAUGGUCGAUAGGGGCGGUCGGGGGCACUCGUACCCAGCGGUCAGAGGUGAAAUUCUUGGAUUCGCGGGAGACG